GUGAGUCAUCGAAUCUUUGAACGCACAUUGCGCUCGCCAGUAUUCUGGCGAGCAUGCCUGUUCGAGCGUCAUUUCAACCAUCAAGCUCUGCUUGCGUUGGGGAUCCGCGGCUGCCCGCGGUCCCUCAAAAACAGUGGCGGGCUCGCUAGUCACACCGAGCGUAGUAACUCUACAUCGCUAUGGUCGUGCGGCGGGUUCUUGCCGUAAAACCCCCCAAUUUCUAAGGUUGACCUCGGAUCAGGUAGGAAUACCCGCUGAACUUAAGCAUAUCAAUAAGCGGAGGA
RNAcentral lists this unclassified non-coding RNA (284 nucleotides) under Chaetomium sp. Its description in RNAcentral is "partial contains 5.8S ribosomal RNA, internal transcribed spacer 2, and large subunit ribosomal RNA". The stretch from base 1 to 71 matches the Rfam family "5.8S ribosomal RNA", at positions 84 to 154 of the family's 154-position model. Lineage: Eukaryota; Fungi; Ascomycota; Sordariomycetes; Sordariales; Chaetomiaceae. The record is from RNAcentral.